CCUACGGGAGGCAGCAGUAGGGAAUUUUCGUCAAUGGGCGCAAGCCUGAACGAGCAAUGCCGCGUGAACGAGGACGGUCUUCGGAUCGUAAAGUUCUGUUGAAGGGGAAAAAGAGCGGAGAGAGGAAAUGGUCUCCGAUUGAUAUUACCCUUCGAGGAAGUCACGGCUAACUACGUGCCAGCAGCCGCGGUAAUACGUAGGUGGCGAGCGUUAGCCGGAAUGAGUGGUCGUAAAGGGUGCGUAGGCGGCCUGCUAAGUCUGGAGUGAAAGGUACCGGCUCAACCGGUACAGGCUCUGGAAACUGGCGGGCUAGAGAGCAGGAGAGGGCGGUGGAACUCCAUGUGUAGCGGUAAAAUGCGUAGAUAUAUGGAAGAACACCAGUGGCGAAGGCGGCCGCCUGGCCUGUUACUGACGCUGAGGCACGAAAGCGUGGGGAGCAAAUAGGAUUAGAUACCCGAGUAGUC
This 464-nucleotide ribosomal RNA is filed under the name uncultured bacterium. RNAcentral describes it as "partial 16S ribosomal RNA". It matches the Rfam family "Bacterial small subunit ribosomal RNA", at positions 338 to 795 of the family's 1533-position model. The record is from RNAcentral.